UACGAAGGGGGCGAGCGUUGUUCGGAAUCACUGGGCGUAAAGCGUGCGUAGGCGGCGGUGAAAGUUAGGAGUGAAAGCCCCAGGCUCAACUUGGGAAUUGCUCUUAAAACUACAUCGCUAGAAUACCGGAGAGGAUAGCGGAAUUGUCAGUGUAGCAGUGAAAUGCGUAGAUAUUGACAGGAACACCAGUGGCGUAAGCGGCUAUCUGGACGGUUAUUGACGCUGAGGCACGAAAGCGUGGGGAUCAAACAGG
This 253-nucleotide ribosomal RNA is filed under the name uncultured prokaryote. RNAcentral describes it as "partial 16S ribosomal RNA". It matches the Rfam family "Bacterial small subunit ribosomal RNA", at positions 524 to 776 of the family's 1533-position model. The record is from RNAcentral.